UACUUCGGUAGUGAAUUAGCGGCGAACGGGUGAGGAACACGUGAGGAAUCUGCCUUCUACACUGGGAUAACUCCGGGAAACCGGGGCUAAUACCGGAUAUGAAACUUGGUGGCAUCACCGAGUUUGGAAAGUUUUUCGGUAGAAGAUGACCUCGCGGCCUAUCAGCUUGUUGGUGAGGUAAUGGCUCACCAAGGCGACGACGGGUAGCCGGCCUGAGAGGGCGACCGGCCACACUGGGACUGAGACACGGCCCAGACUCCUACGGGAGGCAGCAGUGGGGAAUAUUGGGCAAUGGAGGAAACUCUGACCCAGCGACGCCGCGUGCGGGAUGAAGGCCUUCGGGUUGUAAACCGCUUUCAGUAGGGAAGAAGCGAAAGUGACGGUACCUACAGAAGAAGCACCGGCUAACUAUGUGCCAGCAGCCGCGGUAAUACAUAGGGUGCAAGCGUUGUCCGGAAUUAUUGGGCGUAAAGAGCUCGUAGGUGGUUCGUUACGUCGGAUGUGAAAAUCUGGGGCUCAACCCCAGACCUGCAUCCGAUACGGUCGAGCUAGAGUUUGGUAGGGGAGACUGGAAUUCCUGGUGUAGCGGUGGAAUGCGCAGAUAUCAGGAGGAACACCAAUGGCGAAGGCAGGUCUCUGGGCCAAUACUGACACUGAGGAGCGAAAGCGUGGGGAGCGAACAGGAUUAGAUACCCUGGUAGUCCACGCCGUAAACGGUGGGCGCUAGUUGUGGGAACCUUCCACGGUUUCUGCGACGCAGCUAACGCAUUAAGCGCCCCGCCUGGGGAGUACGAUCGCAAGAUUAAAACUCAAAGGAAUUGACGGGGCCCCGCACAAGCAGCGGACCAUGCGGCUUAAUUCGACGCA
Molecule: ribosomal RNA, 867 nt
Filed under: uncultured Actinomycetes bacterium
Lineage: Bacteria; Bacillati; Actinomycetota; Actinomycetes
Description: bacterial SSU rRNA
Rfam family: Bacterial small subunit ribosomal RNA
Source: RNAcentral